Molecule: ribosomal RNA, 465 nt
Filed under: Vreelandella stevensii
Lineage: Bacteria; Pseudomonadati; Pseudomonadota; Gammaproteobacteria; Oceanospirillales; Halomonadaceae
Description: partial 16S ribosomal RNA
Rfam family: Bacterial small subunit ribosomal RNA
Source: RNAcentral
CCUACGGGUGGCUGCAGUGGGGAAUAUUGGACAAUGGGCGAAAGCCUGAUCCAGCCAUGCCGCGUGUGUGAAGAAGGCCUUCGGGUUGUAAAGCACUUUCAGUGGGGAAGAAAGCCUUGGGGCUAAUACCCUCGAGGAAGGACAUCACCCACAGAAGAAGCACCGGCUAACUCCGUGCCAGCAGCCGCGGUAAUACGGAGGGUGCGAGCGUUAAUCGGAAUUACUGGGCGUAAAGCGCGCGUAGGCGGUCUGAUAAGCCGGUUGUGAAAGCCCCGGGCUCAACCUGGGAACGGCAUCCGGAACUGUCAGGCUAGAGUGCAGGAGAGAAAGGUAGAAUUCCCGGUGUAGCGGUGAAAUGCGUAGAGAUCGGGAGGAAUACCAGUGGCGAAGGCGGCCUUCUGGACUGACACUGACGCUGAGGUGCGAAAGCGUGGGUAGCAAACAGGAUUAGAUACCCUAGUAGUC